RNAcentral lists this unclassified non-coding RNA (25 nucleotides) under Mus musculus (house mouse). Its description in RNAcentral is "oocyte_clustered_small_RNA1387". Lineage: Eukaryota; Metazoa; Chordata; Mammalia; Rodentia; Muridae. The record is from RNAcentral.
AGAAGCUUGUUCGGGACCUUGUUCG